RNAcentral lists this ribosomal RNA (440 nucleotides) under uncultured Janthinobacterium sp. RNAcentral's name for it is "bacterial SSU rRNA". It matches the Rfam family "Bacterial small subunit ribosomal RNA", at positions 358 to 790 of the family's 1533-position model. Lineage: Bacteria; Pseudomonadati; Pseudomonadota; Betaproteobacteria; Burkholderiales; Oxalobacteraceae. The record is from RNAcentral.
GGAAUUUUGGACAAUGGGCGCAAGCCUGAUCCAGCAAUGCCGCGUGAGUGAAGAAGGCCUUCGGGUUGUAAAGCUCUUUUGUCAGGGAAGAAACGGUGAGAGCUAAUAUCUUUUGCUAAUGACGGUACCUGAAGAAUAAGCACCGGCUAACUACGUGCCAGCAGCCGCGGUAAUACGUAGGGUGCAAGCGUUAAUCGGAAUUACUGGGCGUAAAGCGUGCGCAGGCGGUUUUGUAAGUCUGAUGUGAAAUCCCCGGGCUCAACCUGGGAAUUGCAUUGGAGACUGCAAGGCUAGAAUCUGGCAGAGGGGGGUAGAAUUCCACGUGUAGCAGUGAAAUGCGUAGAUAUGUGGAGGAACACCGAUGGCGAAGGCAGCCCCCUGGGUCAAGAUUGACGCUCAUGCACGAAAGCGUGGGGAGCAAACAGGAUUAGAUACCCUAG